AAGGGUUUAGCUCAGUGGCACAGUGCAUGCUUAGCAUGCAUGGGGUCCUGGGUUCAAUCCCUAGUACCUCCA
Molecule: transfer RNA, 72 nt
Filed under: Camelus bactrianus (Bactrian camel)
Lineage: Eukaryota; Metazoa; Chordata; Mammalia; Artiodactyla; Camelidae
Also listed under: 3 other names
Rfam family: tRNA
About the family: Transfer RNA (tRNA) molecules are approximately 80 nucleotides in length.
Source: Rfam by way of RNAcentral